CAAACUCUCACGAAUCUUCCUCGCGAGGGUCAAGAUAUAGUCUAAUAUACCGGGGACGAAGAUAUCUUUUUUGAUGAACAAGUCCUCUUUCAACAAAUCGGAAUUGGACAUUUUGAAUGGACCCCGGAGCUUCGUCGUCCUUCCAUCACAAAUAUGCUUCCGGAAUUUCGCUUAAUUUUCUAUAUCAUCACUAGGAUCCUCAAGCCUAGAAAAUACAAUCAUACUACAAUUGGGCGCGAGGACGCCAAAAUUAUGCAUGCUAUUAUUAACAGGGCAAACAUUCAAACUCUCACGAAUCUUCCUCGCGAGGGUCAAGAUAUAGUCCAAUAUACCGGGGACGAAGAUAUCUUUUUUGAUGAACAAGUCCUCUUUCAACAAAUCGGAAUUGGACAUUUUGAAUGGACCCCGGAGCUUCGUCGUCCUUCCAUCACAAAUAUGCUUCCGGAAUUUCACUUAAUUUUCUAUAUCAUCACUAGGAUUCUCAAGCCUAGAAAAUACAAUCACACUACAAUUGGGCGCGAGGACACCAAAAUUAUGCAUGCUAUUAUUAACAAGGCACACAUUAAUUGGUGCAAAUUUAUUCUCACUCACAUGCAUGAUUCCAUAGGUGAUGACAAACCUCUUCCAUAUGCUUUUCUCAUUAUGAUCAUUCUUGAAGCAUUGGAAAUUAACACCAAUAUUGGUCCGAAGAAAAAUCGCACCAAAAUUUGGAGAUUCAAGAAACAUCCUUUCGUAGCGGAGAUCAUCCCGCUCCUCCUCCUCCUCCGCCUACUCAACCAACUCCUCAACCAAGUCGUCGCUCGGAUAUUACACUUGAAAGUAUUUCUGAGCAAAUAGCUUCACUUUCAACUACUCUAUCAACCUCAAUAGAUCGGAUUGAUAGAAAUGUAUCCUGCAAAGCAAAUAGCUUCUCUUUCAACUACUCUAUCAACCUCAAUAGAUCGGAUUGAUAGAAAUGUAUCCCGCACGGAAAGACAUGUGCGAAGAUUGAGCAAUGAACUUCAAGGGUACUUUGACCAUGUCAACUACCCCUACACUCAAGUCCACUCUUCCAAUGAUUCAAGCGACGAAUUUGAUGAUGAUUUUUAAAAUGUAUUUUUUUGAUAUUGUUUUGUACUCUUUCCUUUCAUCAAUAAAAUUGCCUUUUUGUUAAUGUCAAAAGGGGGAAGAGAAGGGUAUAUGUAUUUUUG
This 1190-nucleotide long non-coding RNA is filed under the name Nicotiana benthamiana. RNAcentral describes it as "long non-coding RNA (NBEN_LNC006402)". The record is from RNAcentral. Lineage: Eukaryota; Viridiplantae; Streptophyta; Magnoliopsida; Solanales; Solanaceae.